RNAcentral lists this ribosomal RNA (294 nucleotides) under uncultured eukaryote. RNAcentral describes it as "partial 18S ribosomal RNA". It matches the Rfam family "Eukaryotic small subunit ribosomal RNA", at positions 1470 to 1796 of the family's 1831-position model. The record is from RNAcentral.
CCCUUUGAUACUCUGGGCGGUACGCGCGCUACACUGGUUUAUAUAACGUGUAAUUUGGACGAUAGUCUGUAUAAAUCACUAAUAUAAAACCGUGGAUGGGAUAGUUUAUUGCAACUUACAAACUUUAACUAGGAAUCCCUUGUAGAAGUAGUGAAUUAUACUGCUUCGAAUACGUCCCUGCCGAUUGUACACACCGCCCGUCGUUUCUUCCGACUGGUACUCAUUGUGAAUUGCGAGGAGAUUCUGUCAAAUCGUUGUAAAUGCUGGGUAUUGGAGGAAGAAAAAGUCGUAACA